Molecule: transfer RNA, 75 nt
Filed under: Allokutzneria albata
Lineage: Bacteria; Bacillati; Actinomycetota; Actinomycetes; Pseudonocardiales; Pseudonocardiaceae
Description: tRNA_Val_TAC
Rfam family: tRNA
About the family: Transfer RNA (tRNA) molecules are approximately 80 nucleotides in length. Their secondary structure includes four short double-helical elements and three loops (D, anti-codon, and T loops). Further hydrogen bonds mediate the characteristic L-shaped molecular structure. tRNAs have two regions of fundamental functional importance: the anti-codon, which is responsible for specific mRNA codon recognition, and the 3' end, to which the tRNAs corresponding amino acid is attached (by aminoacyl-tRNA synthetases). tRNAs cope with the degeneracy of the genetic code in two manners: having more than one tRNA (with a specific anti-codon) for a particular amino acid; and 'wobble' base-pairing, i.e. permitting non-standard base-pairing at the 3rd anti-codon position.
Source: RNAcentral
GGGCGCAUAGCUCAGUGGGAGAGCACUCGCCUUACAAGCGAGGGGUCGCAGGUUCGAAACCUGCUGCGCCCACCA